RNAcentral lists this ribosomal RNA (485 nucleotides) under uncultured Flammeovirgaceae bacterium. RNAcentral describes it as "bacterial SSU rRNA". It matches the Rfam family "Bacterial small subunit ribosomal RNA", at positions 523 to 1011 of the family's 1533-position model. The record is from RNAcentral. Lineage: Bacteria; Pseudomonadati; Bacteroidota; Cytophagia; Cytophagales; Flammeovirgaceae.
AUACGUAGGGUGCAAGCGUUGUCCGGAUUUAUUGGGUUUAAAGGGUGCGUAGGCGGGCUAUUAAGUCAGUGGUGAAAUCCAACAGCUCAACUGUUGAUGUGCCAUUGAUACUGGUAGCCUUGAGUACAGAUGAGGUAGGCGGAAUUGACAGUGUAGCGGUGAAAUGCAUAGAUAUUGUCAAGAACUCCGAUAGCGAAGGCAGCUUACUGGGCUGUAACUGACGCUGAUGCACGAAAGUGUGGGGAUCAAACAGGAUUAGAUACCCUGGUAGUCCACACUGUAAACGUUGAUGACUCGCUGUGUGCGAUAUACAGUACGCGGCUUAGAGCAAUCGUUAAGUCAUCCACCUGGGGAGUACGCCGGCAACGGUGAAACUCAAAAGGAAUUGACGGGGUCCGCACAAGCGGUGGAGCAUGUGGUUUAAUCGAUGAUACGCGAGGAACCUUACCUGGGCUAGAAUGCCCUUGAUGGGUCCAGAGAUGGAC